RNAcentral lists this ribosomal RNA (1347 nucleotides) under synthetic construct. Its description in RNAcentral is "bacterial SSU rRNA". It matches the Rfam family "Bacterial small subunit ribosomal RNA". RNAcentral also lists the same sequence under 1 other name. The record is from RNAcentral.
AGAGUUUGAUCCUGGCUCAGGAUGAACGCUGGCGGCGUGCCUAACACAUGCAAGUCGAGCGAACCCUUCGGGGUGAGCGGCGGACGGGUGAGUAACGCGUGGGUAACCUGCCCUAUACACACGGAUAACGUACCGAAAGGUACGCUAAUACGAGAUAAUAUAUUUUUAUCGCAUGGUAGAAAUAUCAAAGCUCCGGCGGUAUAGGAUGGACCCGCGUCUGAUUAGCUAGUUGGUAAGGUAAUGGCUUACCAAGGCGACGAUCAGUAGCCGACCUGAGAGGGUGAUCGGCCACAUUGGAACUGAGACACGGUCCAAACUCCUACGGGAGGCAGCAGUGGGGAAUAUUGCACAAUGGGCGAAAGCCUGAUGCAGCAACGCCGCGUGAGCGAUGAAGGCCUUCGGGUCGUAAAGCUCUGUCCUCAAGGAAGAUAAUGACGGUACUUGAGGAGGAAGCCCCGGCUAACUACGUGCCAGCAGCCGCGGUAAUACGUAGGGGGCUAGCGUUAUCCGGAAUUACUGGGCGUAAAGGGUGCGUAGGUGGUUUCUUAAGUCAGAGGUGAAAGGCUACGGCUCAACCGUAGUAAGCCUUUGAAACUGAGAAACUUGAGUGCAGGAGAGGAGAGUGGAAUUCCCAGUGUAGCGGUGAAAUGCGUAGAGAUUGGGAGGAACACCAGUGGCGAAGGCGGCCUACUGGGCUUUAACUGACGCUGAGGCUCGAAAGCGUGGGUAGCAAACAGGAUUAGGUACCCUGGUAGUCCAUGCUGUAAACGAUGAUUACUAGGUGUGGGCCGAAAGGUCCGUGCCGCAGUUAACACAAUAAGUAAUCCACCUGGGGAGUACGGCCGCAAGGCUGAAACUCAAAGGAAUUGACGGGGGCCCGCACAAGCAGUGGAGUAUGUGGUUUAAUUCGAAGCAACGCGAAGAACCUUACCAGGUCUUGACAUCGAGUGAAUAACUAAGAGAUUAGUUAGUCCUUCGGGACACGAAGACAGGUGGUGCAUGGUUGUCGUCAGCUCGUGUCGUGAGAUGUUGGGUUAAGUCCCGCAACGAGCGCAACCCUUAUCAUUAGUUGCUACGCAAGAGCACUCUAGUGAGACUGCCGUUGACAAAACGGAGGAAGGUGGGGAUGACGUCAAAUCAUCAUGCCCCUUAUGACCUGGGCUACACACGUACUACAAUGGCAAUAAACAGAGGGCGGCAAUACAGCGAUGUAAAGCGAAACCCUAAAAAUUGUCUCAGUUCGGAUUGCAGGCUGCAACUCGCCUGCAUGAAGUCGGAAUUGCUAGUAAUCGCAGAUCAGCAUGCUGCGGUGAAUACGUUCCCGGGCCUUGCACACACCGCCCGUCA